AACGAGGCCGACCUGCGGCUGAGUUACCUGCGGAGGGAUCAUUAACGAGGUAGGGCCUCCUUCGGGAGCCCGAACUCCCCACCCUUUGCUGUUGCGAACAAGUUGCUUCGGCGGGACCCCCCUCCUCGUGGGGGGGACCGGGCGUCAGCCCGGGCAGCGCCCGCCGGGGGACCAAACCAACUCUUUUUGUUAAACAAUGUAGUCGGAGUACAAUCGUACAAUCAAAACAAAACUUUCAGC
Molecule: unclassified non-coding RNA, 240 nt
Filed under: soil metagenome
Description: partial contains 5.8S ribosomal RNA, internal transcribed spacer 2, and large subunit ribosomal RNA
Source: RNAcentral